GGGGGUAAGAUGUACGCAGUCCAUACCUCUACCUCUGAUGAAGUAGAAAGGCUGUUUCCGAUAGACCCUCGGCUCAAGACACGAGAUACCACACAAACACAUAGUAAAGCACAGAAGUAGAUUACAUAACAUAAAUAUGGCACCCAUAAGUAAUAUAAAACAGAGGAAAGCAGAGGAAAGCACACAGAUUCGUAAUAAAACAUGGAAGACGGAAGACGGAAACAUAACAGGAAUGAAAUCCCAACCAAGUAAUUCCUUACACUAGCGACCCAAACUGGCCCUAAUCCUCUGCCGAAAUUCGCGCCCUCCAGACCUUCCUAUCUAGGGUCAUGUCCUCGGUGAGCUGUAACUGUUCCAUGUACCGCCUAAUCACCUCGCCCCAGUACUUCUUCGGCCUACCCCUACCCCGCCUAAAACCAUCCAACGCUAGCCUCUCACACCUACGGACCGGGGCAUCCAUGCCCCUCCUCUUCACGUGUCCGAACCAUCUCAAUCGUGCUUCCCGCAUCUUACACUCCACUGAAGUCACACCAACCUUCUCCCGGAUAGUCUCAUUCCGAACUCUAUCCCCUCGAGUCAGUCC
RNAcentral lists this long non-coding RNA (583 nucleotides) under Capsicum annuum. Its description in RNAcentral is "long non-coding RNA (CANN_LNC008787)". The record is from RNAcentral. Lineage: Eukaryota; Viridiplantae; Streptophyta; Magnoliopsida; Solanales; Solanaceae.